This 301-nucleotide ribosomal RNA is filed under the name uncultured bacterium. RNAcentral describes it as "partial 16S ribosomal RNA". It matches the Rfam family "Bacterial small subunit ribosomal RNA", at positions 509 to 807 of the family's 1533-position model. The record is from RNAcentral.
CAGCCGCCACGGGAAUACGAAGGGGGCUAGCGUUGCUCGGAAUGACUGGGCGUAAAGGGCGCGUAGGCGGCCAUUCAAGUUAGAUGUGAAAGCCCUGGGCUCAACCUAGGAAUUGCAUUUGAUACUGUUUGGCUUGAGUUCGGGAGAGGUGAGUGGAAUUCCCAGUGUAGAGGUGAAAUUCGUAGAUAUUGGGAAGAACACCAGUGGCGAAGGCGGCUCACUGGACCGACACUGACGCUGAGGCGCGAAAGCGUGGGGAGCAAACAGGAUUAGAUACCCCCGUAGUCCCUGUCUCUUAUAC